This 252-nucleotide ribosomal RNA is filed under the name uncultured bacterium. Its description in RNAcentral is "partial 16S ribosomal RNA". It matches the Rfam family "Bacterial small subunit ribosomal RNA", at positions 524 to 776 of the family's 1533-position model. The record is from RNAcentral.
UACGUAAGGUCCGAGCGUUGUCCGGAAUCAUUGGGCGUAAAGGGUACGUAGGCGGAUAAGCAAGUUAGAAGUUAAAUCCUAUAGCUCAACUAUAGCAAGCUUUUAAAACUGCUCAUCUUGAGGUAUGGAAGGGAAAGUGGAAUUCCUAGUGUAGCGGUGAAAUGCGCAGAUAUUAGGAGGAAUACCGGUGGCGAAGGCGACUUUCUGGCCAUAAACUGACGCUGAGGUACGAAAGCGUGGGUAGCAAACAGG